This is a long non-coding RNA of Ochotona curzoniae (black-lipped pika), 362 nucleotides long. RefSeq lists it as uncharacterized. The record is from RefSeq and is a predicted model, not a curated record. Lineage: Eukaryota; Metazoa; Chordata; Mammalia; Lagomorpha; Ochotonidae. The transcript is spliced from 2 exons.
ACCCGGGGGAGGGAGGAGUUUUUCUUGGGACACCGACUGGUCCCCCGGCCCCUAGGAACUAGCAUCUUGGGGGCUGCGCUGACUUCUGCCCAGGCGCCCCCACUUUUUUUUUCCCAAAUACUUGAAAGGCAGAGUUAGAGUAAUCUUCCCAUUUUCUGCCUCACUCCCCAGCUGGCUGCGAUCCAGGCGUUUCUUCCACGUUUGAGGGCAGGAUGCCCAAGCACUUGAGCCACCCAAGGCUGCUCUCCCAGGUACUAAAUCUGAAGCCACACGGGACUAUCGUACACAAGGAGCUGGAGCAGUUAUGCUAGCACAUCAAAGCAUAUUUCUUUUAAUAAAAAAUUGACAGUAUGUACAUUAUU